This 253-nucleotide ribosomal RNA is filed under the name uncultured bacterium. RNAcentral describes it as "partial 16S ribosomal RNA". It matches the Rfam family "Bacterial small subunit ribosomal RNA", at positions 524 to 776 of the family's 1533-position model. The record is from RNAcentral.
UACGGAGGAUCCGAGCGUUAUCCGGAUUUAUUGGGUUUAAAGGGAGCGUAGGUGGAUUGUUAAGUCAGUUGUGAAAGUUUGCGGCUCAACCGUAAAAUUGCAGUUGAAACUGGCAGUCUUGAGUACAGUAGAGGUGGGCGGAAUUCGUGGUGUAGCGGUGAAAUGCUUAGAUAUCACGAAGAACUCCAAUUGCGAAGGCAGCUCACUAGACUGCAACUGACACUGAUGCUCGAAAGUGUGGGUAUCAAACAGG